This 235-nucleotide ribosomal RNA is filed under the name Clostridium botulinum. Its description in RNAcentral is "partial 23S ribosomal RNA". It matches the Rfam family "Bacterial large subunit ribosomal RNA", at positions 2035 to 2268 of the family's 2925-position model. Lineage: Bacteria; Bacillati; Bacillota; Clostridia; Eubacteriales; Clostridiaceae. The record is from RNAcentral.
GGCGAAAUUGUAGUGCAAGUGAAGAUGCUUGCUACCCGCGAUUGGACGGAAAGACCCCGUAGAGCUUUACUGUAGCUUAGCAUUGAAUCUCGGUAUUGUCUGUACAGGAUAGGUGGGAGACUUGGAAACUUGGGCGUCAGCCUGAGUGGAGUCAUCCUUGGGAUACCACCCUGACAGUACUGGGGUUCUAACCGGCGGCCAUGAAUCUGGUCACGGGACAUUGUUAGGUGGGCAG